GAUGAACGCUAGCUACAGGCUUAACACAUGCAAGUCGAGGGACCGGCGCACGGGUAAGUAACACGUAUCCAACCUGCCUUUACUCGGGGGAAGGCUUUCGCAAGGAGAAAUAAUUCCCAAUAGAUAGGGUGGGGAUGCGUUGCAUUGGGUUGUUGGUGAGGUAACGGCUCACCAAGCCUUCGAUGGAUAGGGGUGCUGAGAGGAAGGUCCACCACAUUGGAACUGAGACCCGGUCCCCACUCCGACGUGAGGCAGCAGUGAGGAAUAGUGGUCAAUGGGCGUUAGCCUGAACCAGCCAAGUAGCGUGAAGGAUGAAGGCUUAUGGGUCGUAUACUUCUUUUAUAGAAGAAGAGGUAUUAUAUGAAUAAGGAUCGGCUAACUCCGUGCCAGCAGCCGCGGUAAUAC
RNAcentral lists this ribosomal RNA (405 nucleotides) under uncultured bacterium. RNAcentral describes it as "partial 16S ribosomal RNA". It matches the Rfam family "Bacterial small subunit ribosomal RNA", at positions 28 to 526 of the family's 1533-position model. The record is from RNAcentral.